RNAcentral lists this ribosomal RNA (492 nucleotides) under uncultured bacterium. RNAcentral's name for it is "partial 16S ribosomal RNA". It matches the Rfam family "Bacterial small subunit ribosomal RNA", at positions 29 to 507 of the family's 1533-position model. The record is from RNAcentral.
AGUGAACGCUGGCGGUAGGCCUAACACAUGCAAGUCGAACGGCAGCACAGUAAGAGCUUGCUCUUACGGGUGGCGAGUGGCGGACGGGUGAGGAAUACAUCGGAAUCUACUUUUUCGUGGGGGAUAACGUAGGGAAACUUACGCUAAUACCGCAUACGACCUACGGGUGAAAGCAGGGGAUCUUCGGACCUUGCGCGAUUGAAUGAGCCGAUGCCGGAUUAGCUAGUUGGCGGGGUAAAGGUCCACCAAGGCGACGAUCCGUAGCUGGUCUGAGAGGAUGAUCAGCCACACUGGAACUGAGACACGGUCCAGACUCCUACGGGAGGCAGCAGUGGGGAAUAUUGGACAAUGGGCGCAAGCCUGAUCCAGCCAUACCGCGUGGGUGAAGAAGGCCUUCGGGUUGUAAAGCCCUUUUGUUGGGAAAGAAAAGCAGCAGGUUAAUACCCCGCUGUUCUGACGGUACCCAAAGAAUAAGCACCGGCUAACUUCGUG